RNAcentral lists this ribosomal RNA (253 nucleotides) under uncultured bacterium. RNAcentral's name for it is "partial 16S ribosomal RNA". It matches the Rfam family "Bacterial small subunit ribosomal RNA", at positions 524 to 776 of the family's 1533-position model. The record is from RNAcentral.
GACGAACCACACGAACGUUAUUCGGAAUUACUGGGCUUAAAGGGUGCGUAGGCUGCGCGGAAAGUUGGGUGUGAAAUCCCUCGGCUCAACCGAGGAACUGCGCCCAAAACUACCGUGCUCGAGGAAGAUAGAGGUGAGCGGAACUUACGGUGGAGCGGUGAAAUGCGUUGAUAUCGUAAGGAACACCCGUGGCGAAAGCGGCGAGCUGGUCCAUUACUGACGCUGAGGCGCGACAGCGUGGGGAGCAAACAGG